AAGACUACUAAUUUCGACUUAGUAAAUUGUGGUUAAUCAUCACAACCCCCCU
This 52-nucleotide transfer RNA is filed under the name Grandisonia alternans. Its description in RNAcentral is "tRNA-Arg". The record is from RNAcentral. Lineage: Eukaryota; Metazoa; Chordata; Amphibia; Gymnophiona; Indotyphlidae.